UUGUUGUUGCCGUGUGCAUGCCUAAGUGUUAAUCCUUCGUUUUUUUAAUCCAAUGCUUUACGUGAGAGUUUUUUCAAGUACAUCCUCACUCAAAUCAUCAAGGAAUUCCUGCGCCCAAGAGUCAAUCACAUCAAUAGAGAAACAAGAGUGACCAUCAUAAGGAUAUCUCAUAGCAUCAUAAAUAUUGAAAUCAAUAACUUCCCCAUCAAAUUCCAUGGUCAACGUUCCCUUGAAUACAUUUAUCUUUGUACCGGCAGUCUUCAUGAAUGGUCGGCCAAGUAAUAUUGGUAAUUGAGAGGAAUGGUUCGAGUCUUCCAUUUCAAGCACGUAGAAGUCCGCCAGAAAGACUAGGUGAUUCACCUACACUAAAACAUCCUCCAAAACACCUUUUGGAUACGCAUUAGAUAUAUCGGCCAGUUGAAUGAUCACUCCAUCAUUUUUUAAUUCUCCCAACUUCAUAGAUGCAUAUAUUGAAUAAGGCAUGACAUUUAUUGAUGCACCUAGAUUUAACAUGGCAGAUUCAAAGCAAGUAUUUCCUAUAACACAAGGAAUUGUA
This 556-nucleotide long non-coding RNA is filed under the name Malus domestica (apple). Its description in RNAcentral is "long non-coding RNA (MDOM_LNC015100)". The record is from RNAcentral. Lineage: Eukaryota; Viridiplantae; Streptophyta; Magnoliopsida; Rosales; Rosaceae.